AUUCCAGCUCCAAUAGCGUAUAUUUAAGUUGUUGCAGUUAAAAAGCUCGUAGUUGGAUUUCGGGUGAGGAUGACCGGUCUGCCGUUGCGGUACGCACUGGACGUUUUCAUCUUGUUGUCGGGGACGCGCUUCUGGGCUUCACUGUUCGGGACGCGGAGUCGGCGCUGUUACUUUGAAAAAAUUAGAGUGUUCAAAGCAGGCAAUCGCUCUGAAUACAUUAGCAUGGAAUAACGCUAUAGGACUCUGGUCCUAUUGUGUUGGUCUUCGGGACCGGAGUAAUGAUUAAGAGGGACAGUUGGGGGCAUUCGUAUUUCAUUGUCAGAGGUGAAAUUCUUGGAUUUAUGAAAGACGAACUUCUGCGAAAGCAUUUGACAAGGAUGUCUUCAUUA
This 389-nucleotide ribosomal RNA is filed under the name Pyramimonadales sp. RNAcentral's name for it is "partial small subunit ribosomal RNA". It matches the Rfam family "Eukaryotic small subunit ribosomal RNA", at positions 582 to 975 of the family's 1831-position model. The record is from RNAcentral. Lineage: Eukaryota; Viridiplantae; Chlorophyta; Pyramimonadophyceae; Pyramimonadales.